RNAcentral lists this ribosomal RNA (497 nucleotides) under uncultured bacterium. Its description in RNAcentral is "partial 16S ribosomal RNA". It matches the Rfam family "Bacterial small subunit ribosomal RNA", at positions 28 to 507 of the family's 1533-position model. The record is from RNAcentral.
GACGAACGCUGGCGGCGUGCCUAAUACAUGCAAGUUGAGCGAUGAAGAUUGGUGCUUGCACCAAUUUGAAGAGCAGCGAACGGGUGAGUAACGCGUGGGGAAUCUGCCUUUGAGCGGGGGACAACAUUUGGAAACGAAUGCUAAUACCGCAUAACAACUUUAAACAUAAGUUUUAAGUUUGAAAGAUGCAAUUGCAUCACUCAAAGAUGAUCCCGCGUUGUAUUAGCUAGUUGGUGAGGUAAAGGCUCACCAAGGCGAUGAUACAUAGCCGACCUGAGAGGGUGAUCGGCCACAUUGGGACUGAGACACGGCCCAAACUCCUACGGGAGGCAGCAGUAGGGAAUCUUCGGCAAUGGACGAAAGUCUGACCGAGCAACGCCGCGUGAGUGAAGAAGGGUUUCGGAUCGUGAAACUCUGUUGGUAGAGAAGAACGUUGGUGAGAGUGGAAAGCUCAUCAAGUGACGGUAACUACCCAGAAAGGGACGGCUAACUACGUG